Molecule: small RNA, 525 nt
Filed under: Pan troglodytes (chimpanzee)
Lineage: Eukaryota; Metazoa; Chordata; Mammalia; Primates; Hominidae
Description: retained intron
Source: RNAcentral
AGAUACCAUAAGAAACUGAUCCGCCUGCCUCUCCCAGACGAUGAGCAUGACCUCUCAGACAGAGAGCUGGAGCUGGAAGACUCUGCAGCUCUGUCAGACCUGCACUGGCACGACCGCUCUGCAGACAGCCUGCUUUCUCCACAGCCUUCCUCCAACCCCUCCCUCUCGCUCGCUCAGCCCCUCCGGAGCGAGCGGUCAGGACGAGACACCCCGGCUAGUGUGGACUCCAUCCCCCUGGAGUGGGAUCACGACUAUGACCUCAGUCGGGACCUGGAGUCUGCAAUGUCCAGAGCUCUGCCCUCUGAGGAUGAAGAGGGUCAGGAUGACAAAGAUUUCUACCUCCGGGGAGCUGUUGGCUUAUCAGGUAGGAAAGAGCCUCUCCAGUUUGCCAGCUUAAAGGAAAGUCAGAGGGAAUUAAUAUUGCCCUGGAAACAUGACAGCUAUCCAGAAUCAUUUGCUUCCUUCUUUCAUGCGGGGAAAUUGUACCUAAGUGAACACUUAGAUAUGAAUGUGAUUACAAAAUGC